GUGACAUCCUCACUUGGGCUCUUGGCUGGGAAAGUGGCGGCUUCCCUCUUCCAGUUUUGGUAACCAGGAAAGGGGGUUCUGAACCCCUCAAUCUUCUGAUCUUCUCUGCAAAAGACGCUGGAGAUGAAGGCCCCCUUGAACUGUGAUUUUUUGCAAAUGAACUUUAUUAAACUCUCAGUGUGCCUUUGAAGCUGAGUCAGCUACAAACCUCUCCAGCCAGUCUAGCCCAAAAUGAUAAACUGUGCAGCUGGGACCCUUUCAGAUAAGCAGAAAAUCCUUUCUUCACGGUCUGGCAGUUCCAAGAAGAUGGGCUUCUGCUCUCCUGCUCUCUCUUGCUCUUCCUCCUCCUCCUGCUCUCUUUCUCCUCCCAAGACACUCCCAUUUAGGAGGGGAUUGCCUUUCUCUCCUUCCAUGAAACCUCCCCUUUUGGCUGUAAUGCUUAAACACCCAAGGCCAUGCCUGCAUUGCUGGCCUCUUUUAU
This is a long non-coding RNA of Dromiciops gliroides (monito del monte), 481 nucleotides long. RefSeq lists it as uncharacterized. Lineage: Eukaryota; Metazoa; Chordata; Mammalia; Microbiotheria; Microbiotheriidae. The transcript is spliced from 3 exons. The record is from RefSeq and is a predicted model, not a curated record.